This 254-nucleotide ribosomal RNA is filed under the name uncultured bacterium. RNAcentral describes it as "partial 16S ribosomal RNA". It matches the Rfam family "Bacterial small subunit ribosomal RNA", at positions 524 to 776 of the family's 1533-position model. The record is from RNAcentral.
UACGUAGGAGGCGAGCGUUAUCCGGAUUCACUGGGCGUAAAGCGCAAGUAGGCGGUUGUGAAAGUCCGUUGUUAAAGCCCCUGGCUCAACUGGGGGAGGUCAAUGGAGACUUUAUGACUUGAGGGCAACAGAGGCAUGUGGAACUCCCGGUGUAGCGGUGGAAUGCGUAGAGAGUCGGAAGAACACCCGUGGCGAAGGCGGCUCUCUGGGCCUUACCUGACGCUGAGGAGCGGAAAGCGUGGGGAGCGAACAGG